UGGGUCACUCACUCAGUGGCAGUUUCGGCAGCUGGCGUGGCCUCGGAGCGUGGCGGCUCCAAAGUUGGGACGGCAGCGGCAGAUUUGGCGGGAGUGGAGGUUGGAGACACAUUAUUGAGAGACUGAUCAUAGAGAGAAGGGCAACGUUCACAACAGUUAAAGCUUAAACCAAAUACCACAAACAAUCAGCAAAUCUGAGUGUCCUCCUCAAGCGAGUGACGAAAUACAAUACAAACAGAAAAACACAGAUAAGCAGCUUGAUCAUGCACUCCAUAAGACAAGAGGUCAAGAAACUGAGGGAAAGCAACAAAAAAUCAGAGGUAAUGAAGACAGGAGAUAUUUAUUUGAAGAGACCAGGCAAGGGAAAUAACCAGAAACUUGAGGGGAGAAUCAGAGAGGAAAGCAGGAGUAGCUCAUGGCACAUUUGCGG
Long non-coding RNA from Rhinichthys klamathensis goyatoka, 430 nucleotides. RefSeq lists it as uncharacterized. The record is from RefSeq and is a predicted model, not a curated record. NCBI's taxonomy places the organism in Eukaryota, Metazoa, Chordata, Actinopteri, Cypriniformes, Leuciscidae. The transcript has 2 exons.